This is a long non-coding RNA of Meriones unguiculatus (Mongolian gerbil), 1453 nucleotides long. RefSeq lists it as uncharacterized. The transcript is spliced from 4 exons. The record is from RefSeq and is a predicted model, not a curated record. Lineage: Eukaryota; Metazoa; Chordata; Mammalia; Rodentia; Muridae.
GGGUUGGGGGGAGGGAUUAUGAGAGCAGAGUGCUUUGCAUACCACUAGCCUUACCCAGAUGAUUAAAAAAUAUGAACAAAAAAAGCCAGUUAUCUUUAGGAGAAAGGGUUGCUUGUUUUUGAUACAGGGUCUCACUCUGUAAAUCAGGUUAGCCUCACGGAGACCCACCUGCCUCUGCUUCCUGAAUACUGGGAUUAAAGGUGUGUGCCACCAUGCCUGGCAGUUUUUAGUCUUUCUGUUUUGUUUGUUUGUUUCCUUGCAUGGCGUUUGGGCUUUUAAGACCAGAUCUCAGUGUGUAGACCUAGCUGGUCUCACACUUCUGGUAAUCCUCCUGACCCCACCUCCUGACUGCUGGACUGACUGACACGCAGUACCAAGUCCAGAAGCUCUUCUCAUUCUGGAUGAGUCCAACUUUCCGCCACAUUGCAGGAAAGUCACCGAGAGGCAGAGCAACAGCGUGACAAAGAGAUGACGGCAAAAACAAAGGAAAAACACGGCCACAUGUUGCUCUGUAAGUGGACAGAGAGAAGGGAUCACUUCAAAAGCUUUCCAGGGAGGAGAGAUCCCACAAGGUCAAAAGAGAAUCCACUCCAGAGAGCUGUCCUCCAUACGUACAUCCGCAACCCCAGCCCCCAACACACAAUAAAAUAAAUGAACAAAUAGGGAUCGAGGUCAGGUUCCCUGAACCCACGUGGUGGAAAACAGCCAUAAACAACCCCAGUCCCAGCGGAUCUAACAGGCAUGGACGUGGUGCAUAUAUAUGCAGACAAAACAUUCAUACACAGAAGAGUCUUGCCAUAUAGCCCAGGCUGGCCAAAAACUCCCUAGGGUCUUGCCUUAGCCUCCAAGCUGGUAUGACAGGCAUGUGUCACCACAUCCGGCUUCCCCCUCCCCCAACACACACAGCGUGCAUUUAAGGAAGAAAAUACUCUACUUCAUCUGGUGUCUGUGACACUUGACUCCUCUGGGGGAAAUCGCUGGGCCCCAUGCAAACCACAGUUCCCAGGCCACAGUGCAGCUUCCUGCAUUUCCCACUCCUGAAGACCAAGUGCACCAAAGAGCAGGAAGAUGGCUAAGCAACCCAGGCAGGUCAAGGACUUAAACUUUUCUUGACUCUCCAAGGCCAGGCUAAGACAGAGGCUCUCGGUCCUCACCCAGGAUGGAUACGGAAGCAGGGUCUCUCUGCACAGAUAGUCAUCACCGCGACUUAGAAGCUGGUGACACAUGCCAGCAGCAACGGUUCGCACCCUGGAUUCUGACUCUCAGAAAGACCGAGGCAGAAGGAUUGCCAUGAGUUCAAAGCCAGCCUGAGCUAUGGAGCGAGGCCUUGCCUUAAAUGACACAAAAGAAGAAAGCCGUGAACGAGUGAAAGAAGUGCUGGGGAGCAGCUGAGCUGCUGUUCAGAUUGAGCAAGGUCCUGGAUUCCACCCUCAGCCUCGCAAAUAAACGCAUU